Podarcis raffonei (Aeolian wall lizard) is the source of this 790-nucleotide long non-coding RNA. RefSeq lists it as uncharacterized. NCBI's taxonomy places the organism in Eukaryota, Metazoa, Chordata, Lepidosauria, Squamata, Lacertidae. The record is from RefSeq and is a predicted model, not a curated record. The transcript is spliced from 3 exons.
GUAUUUCAAGAGAAACUUACUUUAAGCUUAGCAGUUUCUAAGUCCUCUGGAGUAAACACUGAACCAUCAAUGCUUCCUAUUCCAGCAAUGGAGAAGCCUUUAUCUAGCCUGGAAAAGUGAUCUCCCAUUCCUGCCCCUCUCCAAGCCAAAGCAGGCAGUUAAAAUGUCACUUAACAUUCUGGAGAAUGUGAAAUAUAUUGUACAUUGUCAACUCCCCAAAACCAUAAAACUAACUUUAUGGACCUCACGUGACUUUUGAGAGCCAGUGAGGGGUAUCUGGCUGAGGUCUGGGCGAUUUUUACGAUCUAACUUCUAGAUAAAACCCUAUCCAUUUGACAUCUUAAUGUCACAGCCACUUUUGGUAUACUUACUUACUUUGCUAUGGGUAAAAUAUAUGUGUGUGUGUGAGAGAGACUCUGUGUAUUCAAGGGAAGGCGAGAAAAUGGGUUGUUUUGGAAAUGACAACUCACAUCCCAGUCCUCUCAAAACCACUUAAGAAGUAACCAAAGAGUUUGGGCUCCUUCGAAGAGAAAUCGCCUAUGUCGACUCCAUACACCCCGGAGGGAAGCAUCUCGUCGAACUGGCCUCUGUGCAAAAACUUCCUAAAUUGAGUGGAUGUACUCGAUGACAAGCAAGUCUGGUUAGAUCGUUCUUCGUGGGGAGAGGAAUAGAUUUAAAGGUGUAGGGAAAUAAGGGUGGAUUCGCUCACUCAGGCCACAAUCCAGCAGGAAGGUCUCCUGCGCAAGUGAAACAAGGAAGGGGCUCCGCAUGACAAAGGACUUCUACAAGA